ACGCCGUGUGGGAAUCAGCAGCGAAGCCGGCUGAUGCCUUGGGUUGGUGUCUCCCUUCUCCAGCCUCCACAGCCCUGCACUGACCUGUGACAUCCCCUGCCCUUGGGGAGUGAGCACUGGAGAGGAAGGACUGUCCACUCCUCAUCUUUGUGCCCCCCAGCACAGCCCUGGC
Molecule: long non-coding RNA, 172 nt
Filed under: Dasypus novemcinctus (nine-banded armadillo)
Lineage: Eukaryota; Metazoa; Chordata; Mammalia; Cingulata; Dasypodidae
Description: lncRNA (ENSDNOG00000052660.1)
Source: RNAcentral